GUAGGGGGCAAGCGUUGUCCGGAUUUAUUGGGCGUAAAGAGCGUGUAGGCGGCUUCACAAGUCCGCUGUGAAAACUCGAGGCUCAACCUCGAGCUGUCGGUGGAAACUGUGUGGCUAGAGUCCGGAAGAGGAGAGUGGAAUUCCCGGUGUAGCGGUGAAAUGCGCAGAUAUCGGGAAGAACACCCGUGGCGAAGGCGGCUCUCUGGGACGGUACUGACGCUGAGACGCGAAAGCGUGGGGAGCGAACAGGAUUAGAUACCCUGGUAGUCCACGCCGUAAACGAUGGGUGCUAGGUGUGAGGGGUGUCGACUCCCUCCGUGCCGAAGCUAACGCAUUAAGCACCCCGCCUGGGGAGUACGGCCGCAAGGCU
This 370-nucleotide ribosomal RNA is filed under the name uncultured bacterium. RNAcentral's name for it is "bacterial SSU rRNA". It matches the Rfam family "Bacterial small subunit ribosomal RNA", at positions 527 to 895 of the family's 1533-position model. The record is from RNAcentral.